RNAcentral lists this RNase P RNA (399 nucleotides) under Corynebacterium breve. RNAcentral describes it as "Corynebacterium sp. R4 RNase P RNA component class A". It matches the Rfam family "Bacterial RNase P class A". Rfam says of the family: Ribonuclease P (RNase P) is a ubiquitous endoribonuclease, found in archaea, bacteria and eukarya as well as chloroplasts and mitochondria. Its best characterised activity is the generation of mature 5'-ends of tRNAs by cleaving the 5'-leader elements of precursor-tRNAs. Cellular RNase Ps are ribonucleoproteins. Lineage: Bacteria; Bacillati; Actinomycetota; Actinomycetes; Mycobacteriales; Corynebacteriaceae. The record is from RNAcentral.
UGAGCUGGCCGGGUGAUCGCGGCUCCCCGAACUCCAUACGAAUGUAGGGAAGCGGGGGUCGAGGAAAGUCCGGACUCCACAGGGCACGGUGGUUGCUAACGGCAACCCGAGGCAACUUGCGGGAAAGUGCAACAGAAAGUAGACCGCCCACGGGCAAACGUGGGUAAGGGUGAAAGGGUGCGGUAAGAGCGCACCGGCGCGCGUGGUGACACGCACGGCCAGGUAAACCCCACUGGGAGCAAGGCAAGAAACUGCGCACACUGCGCGGUUAUUCGGACGCUACGAGGCUGCCCGCCCAAGUCCGAAGGUAGCUGCUUGAGACACUCAGCGAUGGGUGAUCCAGAUGGAUGAUCGCCGCCCGAAAGGGCACAGAAUCCGGCUUACAGGUCGGCUCAUUCG